AUGUCAAUAGAAGUGUCAGCCAUAUUUGAUGUUGUGUUUAAAUUUGAAUGUCCAGUCUUCUCAGUUCUCACAUGCAGCCUUUUAUUUUCUGAAGGUUAAAACAAUUUCACAGACGAGGUAUGCUACAAUGCAUUCUACGGUUCUACCCACCAUUACUCACCAUCUCUUCACUUGCAUUUGAAAUCUCAACAACGGGCCUUGUUUUGAUUUUUCUGCAGCUCUGAUUUUUUUCUUUCUCAACUUCAGUUUGAAAUCUCAACAACAGAUUUUUUGCAGCAACUUCAUUUUGAAAUCUCAGCUUUGGUAGUAUAAUAAUGGAGAUGAACAAAUUUCUUACCCUCCAUUCAUCCAAUCCCUUCAAAACCCAUAGAACCAGGCUCAAAGUUUGGACUAUGGCGAGAUUUCAAAACAUUCCUUUUGCUGAAAAGUUGCCAAACUGUUCGGUAAGCCGAACGCCUCCUCCUUGUGACCUUCCUCCGCGCUACUUUCUCCCAUUACAUUAUACGAUUUGUAGCCACAACCUUCUUUUGUGGAGGCAUUGUAGAUGUGGUUCUUCAGGAGUUUCAGUUAUUUUGCUUCUGUCUGUUCUCUUAUCUUAUGAGCAACUUUUAGAUUUUCUCUUUUGCUAAUUAGCUUUCUACAAAGGGAACAAGUACCAUUUGAGUUAAACUUGCUGAUUAUUAAACUUGUAUUACAACAGUGUUUGUAAACCAUAUCACAAUUUAUGUUGGUUAUUAAUUUGAUGCCUUGAGAAACAAAUAUUUGUGUAAAGUACUGUUAGGUUCUUUCCUCACAGCAUUUCUUGGGUCUUAUUUUCUGGUGGUUUCAUUGUCAUUCUUGUGCUGAUCUCUUAUCUGGUCAAAACUAGUGGUAGGACUGAGAGCUCAAUCAAAUCCAUAGCAUUUAAUUUUUGGGUUGUGCAGGAUUAUAUUUCUAGCUUAUUAGCAUAUUGGCGUGCUAAAAUGCCAUGAGUUAGGUAGUAUGGUUAUCUGAAUAAUGUAGGACACAAGCUCUGGUUUCAAAUCUGAUGUUAACUUAUUUUAGGGUUUAUGACAUGCUACGGCUAGCAUUUUGGUGGAAACUUGGGGUUUUUAGGGUUGUGGUUUUGUAGUGAAAAGAAUUUGAGGCAAAACAAAGGGGAAAGCUAAGUCUACGCUGAUGCUCCUGGCUUGUGAACAGUAAUCCGAGAAGGUUAAUUAGGAGCUAUUUGAUGGAUAGGUGAUUUGGGGUUCUUUGGGAUUGGACGCUAAUUAAGGAACUAAUGUAUGAAAUUCAGAUUCAAUAUCGUUUGGAAUCUGAAACAAAAUUGUUGAAAACUGAUAAGAAAAAAAAAAAGAAAAAAACCCAUUAAAAUGCUUAUUCAUUGGCAUCUAAUGCCUAACCCUAAUGGACUUGGACUCUUUGCAUUUUAACUACUAAAGCCCCAAAACCAAAUAACUAUGAAAACCACAAAUAAAACCCAAGACAAAAUCUAAUGCACUCAUAUUACCCCUAAAUUCUGAAAAUUAUAAAAACAUACAAACUCUUAAAAUUGAAUAAAACUGGAAGGGGAAACUAGAUUUACCUCUUCAAAUUAUCACUCGUUUGCAUAGUCCUCCACAUGCAACUACUCCAAAAAGUUGCAACGAACCUUACCAAUCUCUGCCAACCCUAUCAUUUAAAUUUUUUCAUUAAAUUAAACGCUUAAAGCAUCACGGGUAUACCCCUAUUACAUUUAUUAAAAUACAACUAUGCUCUUGGAUUAUAAUAUGCAAUAUAAACCAAGGAAUGAGUCUCCCUGUCCCUUAUUGUUUUUGCUUCUAUCUUGCAUCAUUUCCACUCAUUUGAAUUUCUAUCUCUUUAAACUUUUCUUUUUUGAUAUUUCAAUUACUUAUAAAUAAAUAAAAGUUCUCUAAUUGUGUGGUCU
This is a non-coding RNA of Corylus avellana, 1906 nucleotides long. Lineage: Eukaryota; Viridiplantae; Streptophyta; Magnoliopsida; Fagales; Betulaceae. The record is from RefSeq and is a predicted model, not a curated record.